UGAAGGCCCCAUCUUGGGCCUCCGGACGACGGAUCAGUACCCGGCACGCGACAAGACUGGCCACA
RNAcentral lists this non-coding RNA (65 nucleotides) under Arthrobacter sp. RNAcentral also lists the same sequence under 1 other name. Lineage: Bacteria; Bacillati; Actinomycetota; Actinomycetes; Micrococcales; Micrococcaceae. The record is from RNAcentral.